GACAGAGGUGGCAAGCGUUGUUCGGAUUUACUGGGCGUAAAGAGUGCGUAGGUGGUGAGGUAAGACCUGUGGGAAAGACCUGGGCUUAACCCAGGAAGGUCGCAAGUGACUGCCUCGCUUGAGGACGGGAGAGGAGAGCGGAAUUCCCGGUGUAGCGGUGAAAUGCGUAGAUAUCAGGAGGAACACCUGUGGUGUAGACAGCUUACUGGACCAUUUCUGACGCUGAGACACGAAAGCGUGGGUAGCAAACAGG
This 253-nucleotide ribosomal RNA is filed under the name uncultured prokaryote. RNAcentral describes it as "partial 16S ribosomal RNA". It matches the Rfam family "Bacterial small subunit ribosomal RNA", at positions 524 to 776 of the family's 1533-position model. The record is from RNAcentral.